RNAcentral lists this ribosomal RNA (253 nucleotides) under uncultured bacterium. RNAcentral's name for it is "partial 16S ribosomal RNA". It matches the Rfam family "Bacterial small subunit ribosomal RNA", at positions 524 to 776 of the family's 1533-position model. The record is from RNAcentral.
UACGGAGACUGCAAGCGUUACUCGGAAUCACUGGGCGUAAAGGGUGCGUAGGUUGUUGGGUGUGACUGACGUGAAAUCCCAGGGCUUAACCCUGGAACUGCGUUGGUUCCUACCCAUCUAGAGUGUCGGAGAGGCAGGCGGAAUUCCCGGAGUAGCGGUGAAAUGCGUAGAUAUCGGGAAGAACACCGAAAGCGAAGGCAGCCUGCUGGACGACAACUGACACUGAGGCACGAAAGCGCGGGUAGCAAAAGGG